GUGUAAACAUCUCUAUGGGGUGAUGCAUGCAGAUAAAUGUUUAUGUGAACAUAUAAAGUCUGCAUGUGUGGGUGAACACUCCACAUCAGGUCAUUGUCCAUCAUUACAUAUCUGUGGUGUCUGGCUCAUUCGUCUCGUUUUCUGUCAUUUUACCUACUUUUACCUGAAGUACAAUGACUAUUUAAUAACUAUUAAAUGUUUCAUUUCAGCUACACCUCUAUGGUAUUUUUUUCACCUCAUAUCAUACCUUCCUCCCUCACUGGACUUCAGUGUGGGACCUGCAGGUCUCAGGCCUUCUGGGAAGUCCCAGCUUUUCUUGAAUGUUUUCUCUCUCUGGCCAGCUCAGGCUGGAGCAGUGGGUGUUGGUGCCAUCCUGUGGCUAUAGGUGAUAAGCCGGCUGUUCUUCACUGACCUGGUCUUACCUUGAACCCUGGAGUUCUCACAUGCAUGGAUUUAAAUGCUGUGUCUUUCUAAGGGCACAUUAUGGCCAUUUUCCUUAUCUCCCUCCCAAGGGGCUGUUUGCUGUGUUUAUUGACUCCCUGUUUAAAAAACAUAUAUAUAUAUAUAUAUAUAGACGAAUUAGGUUGUACCCCAUAAAUUGCAUGUUUGAAAAAUAUUUCAAAGAAUAGUUUAUUUUUUUUUGCUGAUUUUUAUGUAUCUUCUAAAUUGUAUAUAUUUAUGGGGUAUAAAAUGAUGUUGUGAUUUUUCAAUACAGUGUGGAAUGAGAAUCAAAUUAACCUAUCCGUUACCUCAAGUACUUGACUUUUUUUGUGAUGAGAAGGCUGUUUAUCACUUUCACUCACCAGCUCCUGCUGUCUUCCAUGCUGGGGACAGGAAAGGCUCCACGCUUGACUUUCCCUCCUGUUUUCUUAUCUGCUGUCAACCCCUGAAUGUACCCUCCAGGAUUGCCUUCUAGACCUUCUACAUCUAGCUCGAUCAUUGUGCACCCACCUUCCUCCCAGGGACUGUCCUUAGGGAGUGACUUUAUGCACAAACUUCACAUGCUCUUCCUGCCUCCUUCAUCCCCAUAAGCCCCCAUCUCAGCCCCAUCUGAUUAUUUCUUCCCUGUCUCAUUUCCUGUUAUGCUGUUGGUUUUCUAACCUGAAGGGUAACUUCUUACUCCUUAGUUUUUUGCCUUAAUUUCUAAGUCAUAGGCUACUUUCAGGCUAAAAGUUUUCCUCCAGCCAUGGUUUUAGUCUCAUUCUAUAAGUCUUGCUAGGUAGUUUAUUCAUUGGAAAUUUUUUGUUUUUGAGACAGAGUCUCGCUCUGUCACCCAGGCUGUAGUACAGUGGUGCCAUCUCAGCUCACUGCAACCUCCGGUUCCCGGGCUCAAGCAGUUCUCUUUCCUCAGCCUCCUGAGUAGCUGGGAUUAUGGGUGCCUGCCACCACACCCAGCUAAUUUUUGUAUUUUUAGUAGAGACGGCAUUUCACCAUGUCAGCCAGGUUGGUCUCGAACUCUUGACCUCAAGUGAUCCGCCCACCUUGGCCUCCCAAAAUACUGGGAUUACAGGGGUGAGUCACCACACCCCACCCCUUGGCACUAUAUUUAAGUGAUGAUAUUUUUGGACACUGAGGUAGCCUCAUUCCACAGGUUUAGAUCUGAAGCAUUUUCACUAUUGCUUCUUUCCAUGUAUUUCCUGGUUUGCAGGUCAGUUUCUUCUUUUAAUUCAUCAUUGACACAGUGGUUUAUAUGGCUUUUAAUUUCAAAAGAUUUUUUAAAAUAUCUUUUUGCCGAUUUUUAUCUAUGUUAAUUUUAACUAGACAUGUUCCCUGGAAGGACAUCACUAGUUUUUUUUUUUUUUUUUUCACUCUGUUUAUAAUUUAGGUGGAUUUUCACAUCUCAAGCCAGCUAAGAGUAUGGGAAAUAGGACUCGUUAAAGCACAGAUAUCACACAAGUGAUUCAGAUUCACGAGGGUAAUCCAGAUGAAGGUAUAUCAUUGUACCUGGCCCGCAUCACUCAGUAACUGUCACCUUUGAUUUAUUGAUUUACUUGAGAUGGAGUUUGGUUCUGUCCCCGAGGCCGGAGUGCAAUGGCGUGAUCUCUGCUCACUACAACCUCUGCCUCCCAGGUUCAGAGUGAUUCUCCUGCCUCAGCCUCUUUAGCUGGGAUUACAGGCACCCACCAACAUGCCCAGCUAAUUUUUGUAUUUUUAGUAGAGAGGAGCUUUCACCAUAAUGGCCAGGCUGGUCUUGAACCUCAAAUGAUCUGCCCACCUUGGCCUCCCAAAGUGCUAGGAUUACAGGCUGGAGCUACAGAGCCCAGCCUGUCACCUUGAUUUAAAUGAAUGCAGCUUUCUUGGUGUCUUGAUGUUUGUGAAUUUCUGUGGAGUUUGAUACUGCUCCUUUUGCUGCUUGUUUUUCCAGAGUCCCCUUAUCACUUGACGUGCUGUUAUAUUAUGUUUGAUUUAUUACAGAUACCCCAUCAGCCUGAGUCUCUUAAAGGCCUUUAUACACAUAUGUCUACACAUAGGGAUUUGGAUGAUCUCGGGAUCCCACAUCCUCGCUGUCCCCUGUCCCCCCGCAACAUCCCCCACCAAUACCUUUCUGAAGUUUUCUAGUCCCUCCUUUUUGUUUGUGCUCCUUAAAGCCCAGCCCCAUGCCUGACUUUGGUUCCCAGUGAGCAUUGUACAUUUGUGGAUAUUAAAUCUUUGGCAAAGUCAUUUACCUGGG
This 2671-nucleotide long non-coding RNA is filed under the name Homo sapiens (human). RNAcentral describes it as "non-protein coding LINC00665:25". Lineage: Eukaryota; Metazoa; Chordata; Mammalia; Primates; Hominidae. The record is from RNAcentral.